UCAAAUAUUGAGUAAGCCGGAAAACCAAAUCAUGAAAAAAGGUUUUAAAGAAGUUCACAGAAAUCUUGGAAGUUGUGUAACUGAAAAUGCUGACUUUCCGAAUAAAACCGAAUAAAAAUUCCUAAAGAAUCUAGGAGUUUAAUAAAAGGAGACAACUAAUAACCGUUACAUCCGAAGUGAAAGCUUCAGGGAGCAGCAGCAAAAUGUAGAUGUUCAGUCGGCGCAAAAGAAAGUUCCGACGGAACACGA
Actinia tenebrosa (Australian red waratah sea anemone) is the source of this 249-nucleotide long non-coding RNA. The record is from RefSeq and is a predicted model, not a curated record. Lineage: Eukaryota; Metazoa; Cnidaria; Anthozoa; Actiniaria; Actiniidae.